UACGUAGGUCGCAAGCGUUGUCCGGAUUUACUGGGCGUAAAGAGCGCGCAGGCGGCUGGUCAAGUCCGAUGUGAAAUCUCCCGGCUCAACUGGGAAACUGCAUCGGAAACUGAUCGGCUUGAAGAUGGGAGAGGGUAGUGGAAUUCCAGGUGUAGCGGUGAAAUGCGUAGAUAUCUGGAGGAACACCGGUGGCGAAGGCGGCAUCCUGGACCGACACUGACGCUGAGGAGCGAAAGCCAGGGGAGCAAACGGG
This 253-nucleotide ribosomal RNA is filed under the name uncultured bacterium. Its description in RNAcentral is "partial 16S ribosomal RNA". It matches the Rfam family "Bacterial small subunit ribosomal RNA", at positions 524 to 776 of the family's 1533-position model. The record is from RNAcentral.